Long non-coding RNA from Chrysemys picta bellii (western painted turtle), 5165 nucleotides. RefSeq lists it as uncharacterized. Lineage: Eukaryota; Metazoa; Chordata; Testudines; Emydidae. The record is from RefSeq and is a predicted model, not a curated record.
UCCUCUGAGACCCAAUGGGAUCCAAGAGCAACAAUAAACAAUUACAGCUUGAUGGAGCGCCUUCUUGCCAUGCAAGGAAUCCUGAUCUCUACAAUACUGUCUUCAAAUGAGGGAGACAACCUUCAAAGCUUGUGUACAGGAACAUCCAGAACUCAACACACCAAUGAAGAUGCCUGAUUAUCACUGGCAGACGAGCAAUGAUCUCCAAAUAAAGGGGUGUCUCAAAUCCAGCAAGGGAAAAGAUGUUAAUAAACACUUUGUUGGGCCCAAGACCCCCUUAUUAAAAUGACACUACCCAACCCCCACAACAAGUGAAAUUCAUUCCUGGGAAGGCCAAAGGAGGUUGAUUUGACAAGUUUAUGCCUGAGCUUCCCAGUGCAAAAUCAGUGGUUUCACUCUCAGGGUCAGCGUUGAAGGGUAUUUCCUGUGACACCUGGGAAACAUAGAGGAAAACGAGCCUGUGCACUCCACUUUUGUGGCUCUAUGUAUGUAUUAUUACAUUUAUUGGAUAUUCUUUCUGAAGUUUUAUAUGGUAGAAGUGUUUCAACUUUCAGGGCCUUUGUCAUUAAGUGUGACUCAAACAACAUAUAAGGGUGUGUGCAUAGACAGAUACAGAUAAAUAGGUAGUUUGCUUUUGGAAAAGUCUUAUCCUGCCUGCAUGGCAAUUGAUAAAAAAAAAGGAAAAAAUUCUAGUUGGAAAAUAUAUUCUUCUUCGAGUGAUUGCUCAUGUCCAUUCAACGUUAGGUGUGCACUCGCCAUGUACAUGUUGUUGGUGAUUUUUCCCUCAGUGGUAUCUGUCAGGCCGGCUCUAUCGUCCUCUGGUGGCAUGCGCUGAUGCGCUGGAUUAAGGGGCACUGCCAGCCCUGCACCCCCCCUCCCAGUUUCUUCUUACCGCCCGUGACAGUUGCUGGAACAGCUUCUCUUGCUUAGGCAAGGCAUUUUUCCGUGGUUUUCUUCUCUGCAUCUUAGUCAUUAUUCUUAGUAUAGCUGUAGUGUAAAUACACUAGCGUAGACCCCCUCCUUUAUUGUAGAGGGGCUCCCGUUACUCCUGAGGCUGGGCAUGUACCAGUCUGUGGGAUUCAAAUCUUGUGCCUCCUGUGGCAAGCCCAUGCCAGUGAUCGACCCACACUCCAGUUGUCUGAAGUGUCUGGGAGACUCUCACGUAAGACAGCACAGUCAGAUUUGUUGGGACUUUAAGCCUCGUAUGAAGAAAGACAGAGAAGCUAGACUGAGGGCUAUCCUAAUGAAAGCCACUCUUAGACUGGCAUUGAAGCCAGGUCGCUCAGAUUCGGCACUUAGCACUUUGGCCUUGGUUCGAAGUGCCCCUUCUCCACCGUGCGUUUCCCGAUACUGUUCUCCAUCUCUGGUGCUGAGGAAGAGAGAUUAAAAAGCAGCGCGCUGAGAGAGGGCACUCUCUGGUGCUGAAGAAAGGCAAACAAGGGGAAGACAGUGGAGUGCGACACAUGUUGGGCCACUCCUCCACCCGAGAACCUAUGGUGGCACCGUCAACUCUGCCUAGAUGGACAUCGAGUCCAGUACAGAAUCCCCCACUGAUGCCAAGAAAAUCAUAGCGGCACCAGCAGGAUCAUGGUACCUUCUACCCUGGAGGUCUUUGCAGUGGCCAGGGACUUCUUAUCGCUCCCAGUACCGCUGACCUUGAUGGGACAACAGGCGGCUCUGAUGAGCAUGAGCAGGAGAGAGCAUAGUGCUCUGAGCUCCUUCCCGGCACCAGGACCUUUGGUAUCUUUCAGGGGCAAAUCGACCCUGCUUUCUUCUGCAUGGUCGCCUCUGGUCUGGCUCCGGUCCCCAGACUCUCAUCGCUGAAUGGUGGAAGUGAAGGGUACUGCUCCCCCGUGAUCACCUCAGGAGGACUCUUUGUUGGAGUCUGAGUUGGAGUCCUACGCCCAUCCCAAGAGAUGCCACCGGUACCCAUCUAAUGUACCGUCGCAUCCCGAUGCGGGUUCCCGCCCCAGUACCUUGUCAGGUGGAUGAUGGCCUGUGCAAUGGCCAUUCUGGAACCCAUGGGGAUUUUCCCCAAUACCGGGUCCGUCGUCCCACUGAUUAUACUCAGUUGCUUCACUGCUGUGCUCGGCACUGGACCCUGACUCUUGUACCGAACCCGGCACCGAUGCACAGGAUGUGGGCUCCAUGGGAGUAAUCGAUGCAGAGGAACAGGAGGAAGCUCCUUCUCUGGUACAGGCCUCUUCCUCCUCCCCAGAUAAGGCUGUCUUGGGACCCAGCAGAUCCACCAGGAGCUUCUAAAGAGGAUAGUGGCUAACCUGGGACUAGAGGCUGAGGAGCUCAAGGAAUCAUCUCACAGCCUCAUUGACAUUCUGACUGCAGCAGCACCAUCUAAGGUGGCCCUGCCCAGUAACAAGGCUGUAAUGGGUCUGGUCAGAGCCCUGUGACAGACUCCUUCUUCUCUCCCUCCCACUUCAAAAAGGGCAGAGAAGAAAUACUACAGCCAAAGGGUAUGAGUACCUGUACACUCACCGUCCUCCGGGUCCCUUGUUGUCUUGGUGGUCAAUGAGAGGGAUAGAUGAGGCCAAGCAAGCGCAACCCCGAAACAGAAGGACUCAAAGAAACUGGAUCUGCUUGGCAGAAAAAUGUAUUCGAUGGGUGGACUACAGCUGUUUAUCUCGAACCAGCAAGCCCUGCUGGGGAGAUACAAUUUCAACUUGUGGGACUCCUUGUCAAAAUUUAAAGAUUCGCUGCCUUAGGACUCCAGGCAAGAAUUCUAUGCCCUCUUUGAGGAGGGAAAAAAUGUUGUGAGGGCCUCACCCUAGGCAGCACUGGACAGUGCUGAUGCGGCUGCCAAAACAAUGGCCUCUGCAGUGGCCACGAGGUGAUGCUCUUGGCUACAGUCCUUGGGGCUACCUGAGGAGGUCCAGCAGUCGAUUCAAGGCCUCCCUUUCCAAGGCACCUUGUUUUCAGAGCAAACAGACACAAAGCUCUGUGGCUUGAAGGACUCAAGGGCUACCCUCAGGUCCCUGGGCCUCUAUGCCUUGGCUACUUACAGGAAGUGCUUCAGGCCUCAACAACCGGCCCACUUCACAGCUCUGCCGCCAAGACAGGGCCUGUUCAAGAGAAGGGGCGGGUAUUACAAGCCUCGUCAACUGCUUCCAUCCACCUCAGUCUCACUGCUGGGGUUGAAUAGGUACUCCCGGAGGGCCCAAACAAGCCUUUUGAAGGUGCGCCCGAGGGCGCUAUACCAGUACCUGCUUCAGAUCCUGCCCCCUCUUUGUUUUUGGACUGACUUUCCCACUUCGGCCCAGCGUGGUUCCUCAUCACAUCAGACCUUUAUGUGCUAAAUACAGUGGUGGAUGGUUAUACCCUUCAGUUUUCCUCCACCCCUUCCUCCCACCCCCCAUCCAUGUCCCUCUUCAAGGACCCUUCUCACAAGCAACUCCUAGCCCAGGAGGUGCAAACCCUUCUAUGGGUGGGGUCAGUGGAAGAGGUGGCUCAAAAUUUGAGAGGGAAGGCAUUUUAUUCCCGAUAUUUCCUAAUCCCAAAGCUUCGUCCCAUCCUGGACCUGCGUCACCUCAACAGACAUCUCAAGAAACUGAGGUUCUGCAUUGUCUCCCUGGCCUCCAUCAUCUCCUCCCAGCAUCCAGGGGAUUGGUACACCCAGGUUCCCUUUCAGAUGCCUUCCUGCUUCCAUGGACAGAGUGCCUAUUCUAUACAUUUCCUCCAGUUCUUCUGGUACACAAGGUCCUACUGAAAAUCAAGUGGGUCAAGGUGAGAGUUAUUCUUAUAGCUCCGGCGUGGCCAUGCCAACACUGGUUCAGCACACUGCUAGACUUAUCAGUAGCACCCCCGUUGCUGCUCCCCCUCUGCCCAGACAUGAUCUCACAAGACCACAGCUGUUUACUCCACCCAAAGCUCGAGGCCUUUCACCUGACUGCAUGGAAGCUCCAUGGCUGAACCUGGAGGAGCAAGCCUGUUCAGAACAAGUUCUCCAGGUCUUGCUAGGUAGUAGGAAGCCGUUUACUAGGGCAACCUACCUCGCUAAGCAGAAGCGUUUCUUGAUACAAUCUUCUCAACGAGGUCUCUCCCUGAUUCGGUCUUCCCUUCAAUCUAUACUGGAUUCCCUGCUCUACCUGAACCAGCAAGGUCUGCCCUUGCAUCUAUCAAGGUAUGCCUAGCAGCAUUUUCGGCCUUUCACCUGCCAAUGGAGGUGGUAGGCCAGUAUUUUCUCACGAGAUGGCAAUCUGCUUUCUUAAAAGUUAGCGAGGCUGUACCCUCAGGUUUGUGAACUGAUUCCCCCAUGGGAUUUAAACCUGGUCCUAUCAAAACUCGCUGGCCCGCCCUUUGAGCCACUAGUGUCAUGCCCUCUGCUGUUUCUCUCAUGGAAGGUUGCCUUUCAACAGCAAUUACCUCAGUCAGAAAGGUCUCUGAAAUCAGGGCCCUUAAGUCAGAACCAGUGUCCUUCAAGGACAAGGUUCAACUACGGCUCCAUCCAACCUUCCUUCCAAAGGUGGUCUCACAGUUCUAUAGCAACCAAGUCAUUUUCCUGCCCAUUUUCUUCCUGAGGCCACACAAGAAUUCAGAAGAUCCGUGGCUUAGAUGUUAGGCGUGUCCCUACCUUAUACAUUGAGAUGACUAACCCGUUCCGCAGAUCCACACAACUCUUGUGGCAAUAGCAGAGAGGAUGAAAGGCCUGCUGGUUGCAGCCCAGAGAAUCUCAUCCUGGGUAACCUCCUGUAUUUGAGCAUGUUCUAGCUCUUGCCAUCAUGACCACUCAUUCCACGAAAGCUCAGGCCUAUUCUGCAUCAUUUGUGACGCAGGUCCCAAUCCAAGACUUCUGCAGGGUCGCAACCUAGUUGUCGGUGCAUACCUUCUUCUCCCACUGUGCCAUCACACAACAGACUUGAGAUGAUGCAAGGUUUGGGAGAGCACUGUUCCAGUCCGCGUGUCCAUGAGCUCUGAGUCCACCUCCUUGGGUACAGCUUGUGAGUCACCUAACGUGGAAUGGAUAUGAACAAUCACUCGAAGAAAAAUGGUUACUAACCUUUCUGUAUCUGUGGUUCUUCAAGAUGUGUUGCUCAUGUCCAUUCCACAGCCCACCCUCCUACCCCUCUGUCAGAGUUAGCUGGCAAGAUGGAACUGAGAGGAUGUGGGGCCGGAAGUGACCCUUAUGCUGGUGCAUAAGCAUGUGGCACCAG